Molecule: ribosomal RNA, 478 nt
Filed under: uncultured bacterium
Lineage: Bacteria
Description: SSU rRNA
Rfam family: Bacterial small subunit ribosomal RNA
Source: RNAcentral
AGGACGAACGCUGGCGGCGCGCUUAACACAUGCAAGUCGAACGUGAAGCUGGAGCUUGCUCCGGUGGAAAGUGGCGAACGGGUGCGUAACACGUGAGCAACCUGCCCCGAAGACUGGGAUAACACCGGGAAACCGGUGCUAAUACCGGAUACCUUCUUCCGAUCGCAUGGUUGGAUGAAGAAAUGGAUUCCGCUUCGGGAUGGGCUCGCGGCCUAUCAGCUUGUUGGUGAGGUAACGGCCCACCAAGGCGACGACGGGUAGCUGGUCUGAGAGGACGACCAGCCACACUGGGACUGAGACACGGCCCAGACUCCUACGGGAGGCAGCAGUGGGGAAUCUUGCUCAAUGGGCGAAAGCCUGAAGCAGCGACGCCGCGUGCGGGAUGAAGGCCCUCGGGUUGUAAACCGCUUUCAGCAGGGACGAAAUUGACGGUACCUGCAGAAGAGGCCCGGCAACUACGCGCCAGCAGCCGCGGUAA